This 497-nucleotide ribosomal RNA is filed under the name uncultured bacterium. RNAcentral's name for it is "partial 16S ribosomal RNA". It matches the Rfam family "Bacterial small subunit ribosomal RNA", at positions 28 to 507 of the family's 1533-position model. The record is from RNAcentral.
GAUGAACGCUGGCGGCGUGCCUAAUACAUGCAAGUCGAGCGAACGGACGAUUAUCUUUCUUCUCUGAUUUUAGCGGCGGACGUGUGAGUAACACGUGUAUAACCUACCUAUUUUUCUUGGAUUACUUCGGGAAACCUGAUCUUAUACCGUAUAAUAUUUUGAUCCUCAUGGUUCUAUAGUGAAAUACGGUCUUGCUGUCUCUUAUAGAUUGAUCCUCGCUUCAUUAGCUAGUUGGUAAGUUAACGGCUUACCAAGGCAACGAUGCAUAGCCGACCUGAGAGGGGGAACGGCGAAACGGGAAGGGAGAAAGGGACAAGAGGACUACGGGAGGCAGCAGAAGGGAAUAGUCCGCAAUGGGCGAAAGCAUGACGGAGCAAGGCCGAGUGAGAGAUGAAGGUCAGCGGAGCGGAAAACAGUGUAAGGAGGGAAGAAAAAAUGUGUAAGAAAGUGAGAAGAGAAUGAAGGUAACUAAAAAGAAAGCAACGGCUAACUACGUG